Molecule: ribosomal RNA, 495 nt
Filed under: uncultured bacterium
Lineage: Bacteria
Description: partial 16S ribosomal RNA
Rfam family: Bacterial small subunit ribosomal RNA
Source: RNAcentral
GACGAACGCUGGCGGCGUGCCUAAUACACGCAAGUAGAACGCUGAAGGAGGAGCUUGCUUCUCUGGAUGAGUUGCGAACGGGUGAGUAACGCGUAGGUAACCUGCCUGGUAGCGGGGGAUAACUAUUGGAAACGAUAGCUAAUACCGCAUAAUAGUAGAUGUCGCAUGACAUUUGCUUAAAAGGUGCAAUUGCAUCACUACCAGAUGGACCUGCGUUGUAUUAGCUAGUUGGUGAGGUAACGGCUCACCAAGGCAACGAUACAUAGCCGACCUGAGAGGGUGAUCGGCCACACUGGGACUGAGACACGGCCCAGACUCCUACGGGAGGCAGCAGUAGGGAAUCUUCGGCAAUGGACGGAAGUCUGACCGAGCAACGCCGCGUGAGUGAAGAAGGUUUUCGGAUCGUAAAGCUCUGUUGUAAGAGAAGAACGAGUGUGAGAGUGGAAAGUUCACACUGUGACGGUAUCUUACCAGAAAGGGACGGCUAACUACGUG